This 495-nucleotide ribosomal RNA is filed under the name uncultured bacterium. RNAcentral describes it as "partial 16S ribosomal RNA". It matches the Rfam family "Bacterial small subunit ribosomal RNA", at positions 30 to 507 of the family's 1533-position model. The record is from RNAcentral.
UGAACGCUGGCGGCGUGCCUAAUACAUGCACGUCGAGCGAACAGACGAGGAGCUUGCUCCUCUGACGUUAGCGGCGGACGGGUGAGUAACACGUGGAUAACCUACCUAUAAGACUGGGAUAACUUUGGGAAACCGGAGCUAAUACCGGAUAAUAUAUUGAACCGCAUGGUUCAAUAGUGAAAGACGGUUUUGCUGUCACUUAUAGAUGGAUCCGCGCCGCAUUAGCUAGUUGGUAAGGUAACGGCUUACCAAGGCAACGAUGCGUAGCCGACCUGAGAGGGUGAUCGGCCACACUAGAACUGAGACACGGUCCAGACUCCUACGGGAGGCAGCAGUAGGGAAUCUUCCGCAAUGGGCGAAAGCCUGACGGAGCAACGCCGCGUGAGUGAUGAAGGUCUUCGGAUCGUAAAACUCUGUUAUUAGGGAAGAACAAAUGUGUAAGUAACUAUGCACGUCUUGACGGUACCUAAUCAGAAAGCCACGGCUAACUACGUG